Molecule: ribosomal RNA, 678 nt
Filed under: uncultured fungus
Lineage: Eukaryota; Fungi
Description: eukaryotic LSU rRNA
Rfam family: 5.8S ribosomal RNA (bases 283-436)
Source: RNAcentral
CUUGGUCAUUUAGAGGAAGUAAAAGUCGUAACAAGGUUUUCGUAGGUGAACCUGCGGAAGGAUCAUUACCGAAGUCGAUGGGGGGAAGUGCUGGCCCGUUGGGCAUGUGCACCCUCUCGCCCUUCAUCCACACACACCUGUGCACCUUUCGAGGCGAGGACUCCCAUGCCUGGAGCCGGACUUCGGCGUCGCCGCCGCGUCCCGAGGACUCGCCUACACUUUUCACAAACUCUUUGUAACGUCCCGGAAAGUAGUCGCGGCGUCGCCGCAAAACCCAUACACAACUUUCAACAACGGAUCUCUUGGUUCUCGCAUCGAUGAAGAACGCAGCGAAAUGCGAUAAGUAAUGUGAAUUGCAGAAUUCAGUGAAUCAUCGAAUCUUUGAACGCACCUUGCGCUCCUUGGCAUUCCGAGGAGCAUGCCUGUUUGAGUGUCAUGUUAACUCUCGGCCCCUUGGGGUUGGACUUUGGACGUUGCGGGAGGCCCUUCCGCUCGUCUCAAAAGCAUUAGCGGGGUUCGGGCACCGACCCAUUGCUGGCGUUUAGUAAUGCUUGCGCCGCGCGGGGCUUUCACUGCCUUUUCCCGCUGACCAGCGGACGCCACGGCGUCGAACUUGACUUCUGGCCUCAAAUCAGGUAGGAUUACCCGCCGAACUUAAGCAUAUCAAUAAGCGGAGGA